This is a long non-coding RNA of Hordeum vulgare subsp. vulgare (domesticated barley), 644 nucleotides long. RefSeq lists it as uncharacterized. The record is from RefSeq and is a predicted model, not a curated record. The transcript is spliced from 2 exons. NCBI's taxonomy places the organism in Eukaryota, Viridiplantae, Streptophyta, Magnoliopsida, Poales, Poaceae.
UAGGACAAGUAUUUCCGGACGGAGGGAGUAUUAGGCAUUGCAUGAGAUAAAAAUUCUUCACUCUGAGCAAACAUCAAUCAACAACACUUGGAAGUAUGAUUUUCGGAAUAGGCAUGAAUUGAUGGAAGUUGCUAUUGUAGUUCUCUGGAACAAACAUCAAUUAGUGAACAAGCACUGAUCCAACUUCGUAUGUGCUUGUGCUGGAUCUGGAGAUACGGCUCGUGGGUGAAGGGCAUUGCUUGUGGUGGACAACGCUGGAGGUUGAAAGUCAGCAGGGGAGCAGGGGAGGAGGUUGGCUGACCAAAGAACGUCAGGAGGCAGGGAUUGUCGGCAGUGGUGUCACACAUGAGAGAGGGAAUGCUUUGAUCGACAGGAGGGGAGAGCUACGAAAGGAAUUUCCACAUAGUCUAGGGGCAGGGGGUACGCAGUGGCAAGCCCCGGUAAUUUCCGUAUCAAGUUGGAUGGCAGUUGUGAAAUGGAAAAGCUUCUGCGGGCUCUAAGCUGCUACAGAAGCUGAGAAAGUGGCCCAGCACCUGAAGUUGGAUGUAUAAUCAUCAACAACAACAGAGCCUUUUGUCCCAAGUAAGUUGGGGUAGGCUAGAGAUGAAACCCAACAGGAACCUGUGAUUUUGAGAACCCAAAAA